UACGGAAGGUCCGGGCGUUAUCCGGAUUUAUUGGGUUUAAAGGGAGCGUAGGCCGCUUUGUAAGCGUGUUGUGAAAUUUGCCGGCUCAACCGGUAACUUGCAGCGCGAACUGCAGAGCUUGAGUGUGCGCAACGUUGGCGGAAUUCGUCGUGUAGCGGUGAAAUGCUUAGAUAUGACGAAGAACUCCGAUUGCGAAGGCAGCUGACGGGAGCACUACUGACGCUGAAGCUCGAAAGUGCGGGUAUCGAACAGG
This 253-nucleotide ribosomal RNA is filed under the name uncultured prokaryote. RNAcentral describes it as "partial 16S ribosomal RNA". It matches the Rfam family "Bacterial small subunit ribosomal RNA", at positions 524 to 776 of the family's 1533-position model. The record is from RNAcentral. RNAcentral also lists the same sequence under 1 other name.